UAUUUUUUGUAUGGUAGUUGUAUUAUUUAAUUUGAUUGUGUUGUAUAACAGAUGAAACAAAUUUAUAUUUUAAAAAAUGAUAGUAAUUGAUUUUUGGGAUCUUUUGGAGUAGAAUAUAAUUUGAAAUUGAUAAUAUCAAAUGUAAUGGAAUUGUUGUAGGUGUGAUCAAAGUAAUGUACGCUAAGAGCAAGUUCACCCAUAAAAAAAUGCUCUAACACCUAGCCAUUUAAUCCACUCAGUGAACAAUGAUAGACCCCAAUGAACAGUAAUAGGCCAAAUGCAUCUCCACCCCUAAAAAAUGCGCUGGCACAAACGAUCUCCACCCUUACAAAAUGUGCUAGCACCCAGCCCAUUUAAAAUAUUAUUAAUUUUUUUUAAAUAAUAAAUAAAAAAUGGUUUUAAUUUCGGAUAGAAUUGUUAACCAAUCUUGUCACGCCAUGUGUUAAAUAAACUUAAAAAAAACACACUAAAACAUUAUAGCAAGUUCACCCUAAAAAAAUGCGCCAGCACCUAGCCCAUUCAAUCCACUUAGUGAACAUUGAUAGACUCCAAUGAACAAUAUCAGGUCAAAUGCAUCUUCACCCCUAAAAAAUGCACUAGCACAAAGUCUAAAAAAUGCAUUGGUAUAAACGAUCUUCAUCCCUACAAAAUGCGCUAGCACCUAGCCCAUUUAAAAUAUUAUUAAUUUUUUUAUAAAAUAAUAAAUAAAUAAAAUAGUUUUAAUUUCGGAUAGAAUUUUUAACAAAUCUCAUCACUCCAUGUGCCAAAUAAAAAAAUAAAAAAAACACACUAAAUAAAAUUACAUAAACUCAUCAAAUAAACUUAAAAAACACACUACAUAAAAUUACAUAAACUUAUCAAAUAAACUUAAAAAACAAACUAAAUAAACUAAGAACUUUAUUUAACCACUACACGCUCCUUUUAAUUAUCUUGACCUUGUUGAAAUCCCCACUGGUGCUUGUGGAGCCAAAAACAUUCACUAGGCGACACGUGGACUUUUGGACAAAAGAGGACAAAAAUACCCUUGAAGCAUACCGGGAUUCCUACGCGCAAGCAACGGGCAAUCAUCUUUCAAUCAAGUGAAAAGUGCCCAAAAUAGGUAACAAUUUGGAGCCUAUUUCAUCAAAUCCUUUCUAUAAGGUAAUCCCCAAAAUCUAAUUUAUUCUAUAUGUUUUAUAUUCCAUUAUUUAGCUAAUAAAUUAGCUAAAUAAUAUAUUCCUUUCAUAUUUCCUAAAAUUGACUAAUUAAGGGAUUAAUUACCUAAUCAAUCCCUUAAUUAUCAAUCAAACCACCAAAUUAUAACCAAAAAACAUACCAAAGGCCGGUUACCCACUAGGGCCCACCAUGCCUUUUAUUUUCUGCUUUUUGCUACCAUUUUCUUUCCCUUUUAUGACAUUCAAAUAGCUAGUUAAUUAGGUUAUUAUUAUUUGCUAAUUAACUAGCCAAUUAUUUCCAUAACUCCCCAAAAUAACAAGCCCAUUAUCUCCAUAACCCCCCAAAAUAAAUCAUCCUUGGCUUAAAGGCCGGCCACCCCUUCCUUUCUUAUAAAUUGGUUCCCAUUUUCACCAAACACUAAUUCCAAUUCUCUUACAAAAAAAUCUCAAAUACUCUAAACACUAUUUCUCUCUAAAAUUCUAACUUUGGCAUCAGAGGUUCUUCAGCCAAAAGCCCCCCCAUUCAUCGUGGGCGCGUGAGACUUUUUGGCCUUAACCUAAGGUGCUAGUUGUUUUGUAGGUGCAAAAUCGUCCAAGAUCGAGGAGGAGAAAAUUUGCAUCCACAGUGCUCAAUCAAGUCAUUUUGACGGGUACAGUGCUAGUAUGGCUUUUGCAAUGAAGUGUAUGGCUCAGCGAUCAAUUGAUUGUAACGUCCAUCUCGUUCUAAUGGCUCGUGUUGCACGGGAUCUUCGAUGCUGUCAUGAGCACAAUAGAUACGUGUUCUUGAGUUGUUCAUUGUGUCCGGCUCGUAUUUGUCGACGGCAUAAUAAUCAUACUCAUCUUCCACAAUCAUGUUGUGGAGAAUGAUACACAUCAUCAUGAUGGAUUGAAGUGCCUCGACAUCAAAUAUUCUAGCAGCUAACUUGACAAUCGCCCAACGAGCUUGUAGAAUACCAAAACAACACUCCACAUCCUUCCUACACCCCUCUUGACAUUUUGCAAAGUGUUUUUCUUUUUCACUUUGUGGAUGUGGGACUAUUUUGACAAACGUUGUCCACUUAGGUAAAUGCCGUUUGCAAGGUAGUACGGCCCAUCGUAUGUAUGGCCAUUGACUGAAUAUGUGACUUUGGGUGUUUUUCCUUGCAAUACUUCGUGGAAGACUAGAGAUUGGACAAGGAAAUUUAGGUCAUUAUGAGCUCCUGGAACACCAAAUGUAUCAAAUGAAGACACUGCUUCCAAAAUAAUAUUUUUGGCUCAUUUUCUGUCGCCAUACGCUCCAUGCCACACACUUAGACAGUUUUCCAGGUGCAGUGCAUGCAGUCGAUGCUUCCAAUCAUGCCAGGGAAGCCUCACAUCUCACCCUUCCUCAGCAGCCUUCGCAAGUCCCUUUCCGUGGGUUUCCAAAGGUACUCCUUGGUAUAGGGGGCUUCAAUUGCAGAGCAAAAUUGCAUCAAAGACUCCUGAUCGGAUCAUAUUUAUAUAUAUUUUUACUUCGAAUUCACUCGUCUUUUCUUAGUUAGUUCCUUACAUUUUU
RNAcentral lists this long non-coding RNA (2688 nucleotides) under Malus domestica (apple). RNAcentral's name for it is "long non-coding RNA (MDOM_LNC020853)". The record is from RNAcentral. Lineage: Eukaryota; Viridiplantae; Streptophyta; Magnoliopsida; Rosales; Rosaceae.